RNAcentral lists this unclassified non-coding RNA (430 nucleotides) under soil metagenome. Its description in RNAcentral is "partial contains 5.8S ribosomal RNA, internal transcribed spacer 2, and large subunit ribosomal RNA". The stretch from base 1 to 120 matches the Rfam family "5.8S ribosomal RNA", at positions 35 to 154 of the family's 154-position model. The record is from RNAcentral.
GAUGAAGAACGCAGCGAAAUGCGAUACGUAAUGUGAACUGCAGAAUUCAGUGAAUCAUCGAAUCUUUGAACGCAUAUUGCGCUCUCUGGUAUUCCGGAGAGCAUGCUUGUUUGAGUAUCAGUAAACACCUCAACUCCCUUUUCUUUUUUGAAAUUGGAGCUGGACUUGAGUGAUCCCAACGCUUUCUUCCAAGAAAGUGGCGGGUUGCUUGAAAUGCAGGUGCAGCUGAACUUUUCUCUGAGCUAUAAGCAUAUCUAUUUAGUCUGCCUAAAAAACAGAUUAUUACCUUUGCUGCAGCUAACAUAAAGGAGACUAGUUCUUGUGCUGACUGAUGCAGGAUUCACAGAGACAGCUUCGGCUGACUUUGUAAACUCGAUCUCAAAUCAAGUAAGACUACCCGCUGAACUUAAGCAUAUCAAUAAGCGGAGGA